GGACCCGCACAAGCGGUGGAGCAUGUGGUUUAAUUCGAUGCAACGCGAACAACCUUACCAGAAUUUGACAUAUCUCGCAUUUCCUUGAAGGAGGAAAGUUCAAACGAGAAUACAGGUGGUGCAUGGCUGUCGUCAGCUCGUGCCGCGAGGUGUUGGGUUAAGUCCGGCAACGAGCGCAACCCACAUCCCUAGUUGCCAGCAGUUCGGCUGGGCACUCUAUGGAAACUGCCCGUGAUAAGCGGGAGGAAGGUGUGGAUGACGUCAAGUCCUCAUGGCCCUUACGGGUUGGGCUACACACGUGCUACAAUGGUAGUGACAAUGGGUUAAUCCCAAAAGCUAUCUCAGUUCGGAUUGUCGUCUGCAACUCGACGGCAUG
RNAcentral lists this ribosomal RNA (376 nucleotides) under uncultured bacterium. RNAcentral's name for it is "bacterial SSU rRNA". It matches the Rfam family "Bacterial small subunit ribosomal RNA", at positions 917 to 1322 of the family's 1533-position model. The record is from RNAcentral.